This 102-nucleotide ribosomal RNA is filed under the name Paenibacillus jamilae. Lineage: Bacteria; Bacillati; Bacillota; Bacilli; Caryophanales; Paenibacillaceae. RNAcentral also lists the same sequence under 1 other name. The record is from RNAcentral.
GGAGGGGUUCCACACGUACCCAUCCCGAACACGACCGUUAAGCCCUCCAGCGCCGAUGGUACUUGGACCGCAGGGUCCUGGGAGAGUAGGACGCCGCCAAGC